This 71-nucleotide transfer RNA is filed under the name Phrynosoma platyrhinos (Desert horned lizard). Its description in RNAcentral is "tRNA-OTHER". The record is from RNAcentral. Lineage: Eukaryota; Metazoa; Chordata; Lepidosauria; Squamata; Phrynosomatidae.
GCCAGCAUGGCACAGUGGUUUGAGUGUUGAACUAUGAUGCUGAAGACCAGGGUUCGAUUCCCAGCUCAGCA